GCCAGGUGUGGUGGCGCACACCUGUUGUCCCAGCUACUAAAGAGGCUGAGGUGGGAGGAUUGCUUGAGCCCAGGUGUUCAUGGCUGCAGUGAUCAUGCUACUGCACUCCAGCCUGGGUGACUAGGCAAGACCCCAUCUCUU
Unclassified non-coding RNA from Pongo abelii (Sumatran orangutan), 141 nucleotides. It matches the Rfam family "Metazoan signal recognition particle RNA". From Rfam's summary of the family: The signal recognition particle (SRP) is a universally conserved ribonucleoprotein. It is involved in the co-translational targeting of proteins to membranes. The record is from Ensembl. NCBI's taxonomy places the organism in Eukaryota, Metazoa, Chordata, Mammalia, Primates, Hominidae.